UACAUGGGGUGCAAACGUUGCUCGGAAUCAUUGGGCGUAAAGCGCACGUAGGCGGCUACUUAAGUCGGAUGUGAAAUCCCUCGGCUUAACUGAGGAAGUGCAUCCGAAACUGAAUAGCUUGAGUACGAAAGAGGGUCGCGGAAUUCCCGGUGUAGAGGUGAAAUUCGUAGAUAUCGGGAGGAACACCGGCGGCGAAGGCGGCGACCUGGUUCGAGACUGACGCUGAGGUGCGAAAGCGUGGGGAGCAAACAGG
RNAcentral lists this ribosomal RNA (253 nucleotides) under uncultured bacterium. RNAcentral's name for it is "partial 16S ribosomal RNA". It matches the Rfam family "Bacterial small subunit ribosomal RNA", at positions 524 to 776 of the family's 1533-position model. The record is from RNAcentral.